UAUCUCAGCGCCCAGCACACCGCACGCCGUAUGCGGUGUAUGCCCAGGCAGCCCCCUCUCCCCCUCCUAUCCCCUGCCAGCGCCGGAGCCCCACUUCUCGUGGUGACAAGGGCCGAGAGUGCCUACGACGUGGCAGGGGGGGGGUCUGUGCGAUGCAUGGCCACACUGAUGUGUCGGCGGUGGGGCCCUGGGUGGCGUUGCGUCGGGGUGGCCCGCGACAGCGAACACGCUUGUGCCGUCCAUGUGGUAGGCAGGGUGUCGGCGUGGCUGGAACGCAUUGCACCCGGCCCCGACUGCCGUUGCUGGUGCGGGGGGAGGGGGGGGCCUGUGUGCCACCCCUACGGGAUGCACAGCAGGUGGGCGCCGGCGUGACGGGUGCGGGUGUGCGGCGACCUGCAGAGCGCGGCGGUGGUGUGGAGUAUGAGGCAGGGGCCGUGCUCGGAUGGCUGAGCCGGCGCGUUGCUGUAGGGCGUGUGUGUGCAGGGCUGCUUGGCACCACGCGAUGUGCCCGUGACAGGGCCCGGCACAGCGUGGAGUGCAGCUAAGCUCCGAUGCACCGUGACAGAGAAUGAACCCGCAGGAAUAAAAUGUUCUUCCGUUUUGUAUGUGUAUCCGGGCUGUUUUUUGAUCGCUGCGUCGGUUGCAUCCUCACCCAUUCAUGUGUUUUCUUCUCCUCUUGUUCUUUUUUCGUCGUUCUCACCGUCGUGGCUUGCACGUCUCCGUCACGCCGGACUCCAAAGACGAUGCUGAUUGCUGUCACCACUCCUGCUUUGUUCUGUGUUUUAUGUGUUUCUCUCUCUCUGUUCGCCUUGUCGAUGUGAGUAGAUCGGCCGAUUUGUGUGGUAGUGCUGGUAGUGUGGAUACGCGCUCUUCUCUUUGUGGUACUUCACUAAUGUAUUAUGGUGAACAGCUUCCGCUUGUGAAUCUGCCUCGUUAGACGAGCACGUCGCUAAACAAAAUCAGAGCUGUGCUGCCUCUAGUGGGUGAGGAACCACGAUACACUGCCUCCUGCCCCUCUACUGCACUGCCUUUCAAAGGGCACCCACACACGCGUAGUGUCGCGUCUACGAGUUGUUUUUCCAUGCGCGCGCAAAGGUAAGGGUUAGAGACGGUAGUGGGUGUGUGGGAAAAUUCAGCCGCCCUUAUCGCCGCUGCGUAUCUUGCUAAGCGUUGCGGCCGUCAGACUGCGAUGGAUGUCUGCUCUUUUCCCUUUCACAAUGCUCCUCAUCGUUCUUGAUCUUCUGUGCGCCCCUCUUCGCUCAACGAAG
Molecule: unclassified non-coding RNA, 1268 nt
Filed under: Leishmania donovani
Lineage: Eukaryota; Euglenozoa; Kinetoplastea; Trypanosomatida; Trypanosomatidae
Description: gene:unknown
Source: RNAcentral